RNAcentral lists this long non-coding RNA (737 nucleotides) under Homo sapiens (human). RNAcentral's name for it is "uncharacterized LOC102724087, transcript variant 3 (LOC102724087)". The record is from RNAcentral. Lineage: Eukaryota; Metazoa; Chordata; Mammalia; Primates; Hominidae.
AGAAGGAGCUGGAGGCCCCGGGAGUGCAGACGGCAUUUCAGUGCUCACAGGAGAGCGUCCGUAGAUGGCGAGGACAGAGAAGGGGUUACCAGGGCUUCCAAAACCGCGAGAAAUAAAUGUCUGUGUCUAAACCCCAACCCUACCACCUCAACUGCCGUGUGUGGUGUUUUGUGAUGGCAGCCCCAGCUGACUGAGACACCUGGUUAGACCGGAAUAAGCAGGCUGCAAUCGGUAGCAGUCACCAUUGAACAUCCUUGAAGCAAUUCUUCCAAAAUUACCUUGCAUCAAAGACUGCACAAGAACUGCUCUAAGCGGAAGGACUGAUGUCGGCAACCAGGGUUCCACCAGGGGCUGCAGACAGCCCUUGACCUUCAGAAGUAACCAAAUUUACUCACGUAGGCCAGGAAUUUCUAUGACGUGUUCCAAAUUCAGCCUCUCACUGAACACUUCCAGAGCAAGGCAACAUAAACAUCUGCAAGAAGAACAUUGUGUGAGAAAUAUCAAGUGAGAGUGGAAGAGUCUGCGGAGGGCCUCCCUGGGGCUCACCUGUGCUUUUGCCUGAGCUUCACCGUGUCAAGGAUGCAGCACUUUUUCCCUCUGGAGGAAGCAGCUUUCACCUUGGAAGAAUCUUGACCUUGCCAUUCAAAGUCACCAGACAGGGAAUCUGCCAGUGCCUUGAUCUUAGACUUCCCAGCUUCUGUAACUGUGAGCAAUAAAUGUAUGCUGCUUAUAAACUA